This 468-nucleotide ribosomal RNA is filed under the name uncultured bacterium. Its description in RNAcentral is "partial 16S ribosomal RNA". It matches the Rfam family "Bacterial small subunit ribosomal RNA", at positions 28 to 507 of the family's 1533-position model. The record is from RNAcentral.
GACGAACGCUGGCGGCGUGCUUAGCACAUGCAAGUCGAACGGAAAGGCCCUGCUUUUGUGGGGUGCUCGAGUGGCGAACGGGUGAGUAACACGUGAGUAACCUGCCCUUGACUUUGGGAUAACUUCAGGAAACUGGGGCUAAUACCGGAUAGGAGCUCCUGCUGCAUGGUGGGGGUUGGAAAGUUUCGGCGGUUGGGGAUGGACUCGCGGCUUAUCAGCUUGUUGGUGGGGUAGUGGCUUACCAAGGCUUUGACGGGUAGCCGGCCUGAGAGGGUGACCGGCCACAUUGGGACUGGGAUACGGCCCAGACUCCUACGGGAGGCAGCAGUGGGGAAUAUUGCACAAUGGGCGGAAGCCUGAUGCAGCAACGCCGCGUGCGGGAUGACGGCCUUCGGGUUGUAAACCGCUUUCGCCUGUGACGAAGCGUGAGUGACGGUAAUGGGUAAAGAAGCACCGGCUAACUACGUG